UUUUAAUGAGAGUUUGAUCCUGGCUCAGGACGAACGCUGGCGGCGUGCCUAAUACAUGCAAGUAGAACGCUGAAGGAGGAGUUUGCUUCUCUGGAUGAGUUG
RNAcentral lists this ribosomal RNA (102 nucleotides) under Streptococcus pneumoniae. Its description in RNAcentral is "partial 16S ribosomal RNA". It matches the Rfam family "Bacterial small subunit ribosomal RNA", at positions 1 to 98 of the family's 1533-position model. Lineage: Bacteria; Bacillati; Bacillota; Bacilli; Lactobacillales; Streptococcaceae. The record is from RNAcentral.